This 750-nucleotide ribosomal RNA is filed under the name uncultured bacterium. Its description in RNAcentral is "bacterial SSU rRNA". It matches the Rfam family "Bacterial small subunit ribosomal RNA", at positions 58 to 794 of the family's 1533-position model. The record is from RNAcentral.
CAAGUCGAGCGAGCUUGCCUAGAUGAUUUUAGUGCUUGCACUAAAUGACACUAGAUACAAGCGAGCGGCGGACGGGUGAGUAACACGUGGGUAACCUGCCCAAGAGACUGGGAUAACACCUGGAAACAGAUGCUAAUACCGGAUAACAACACUAGACGCAUGUCUAGAGUUUGAAAGAUGGUUCUGCUAUCACUCUUGGAUGGACCUGCGGUGCAUUAGCUAGUUGGUAAGGUAACGGCUUACCAAACCAACGAUCAGUAGCCGGCCUGAGAGGGUGAACGGCCACAUUGGGACUGAGACACGGCCCAAACUCCUACGGGAGGCAGCAGUGGGGAAUAUUGCACAAUGGGGGAAACCCUGAUGCAGCGACGCCGCGUGAGCGAUGAAGUAUUUCGGUAUGUAAAGCUCUAUCAGCAGGGAAGAAGAUGACGGUACCUGACUAAGAAGCCCCGGCUAACUACGUGCCAGCAGCCGCGGUAAUACGUAGGGGGCAAGCGUUAUCCGGAUUUACUGGGUGUAAAGGGAGCGUAGACGGCGGUGCAAGCCAGAUGUGAAAGCCCGGGGCUCAACCCCGGGACUGCAUUUGGAACUGUAUGGCUGGAGUGUCGGAGAGGCAGGCGGAAUUCUAGUGUAGCGGUGAAAUGCGUAGAUAUUAGGAGGAACACCAGUGGCGAAGGCGGCCUGCUGGACGAUGACUGACGUUGAGGCUCGAAAGCGUGGGGAGCAAACAGGAUUAGAUACCCUGGUAGU